UACGUAGGGUGCAAGCGUUAAUCGGAAUUACUGGGCGUAAAGCGUGCGCAGGCGGUUAUGCAAGACAGAUGUGAAAUCCCCGGGCUCAACCUGGGAACUGCAUUCGUGACUGCAAGGCUAGAGUGUGUCAGAGGGAGGUGGAAUUCCGCGUGUAGCAGUGAAAUGCGUAGAGAUGCGGAGGAACACCGAUGGCGAAGGCAAUCCCCUGGGCCUGCACUGACGCUCAUGCACGAAAGCGUGGGGAGCAAACAGG
RNAcentral lists this ribosomal RNA (253 nucleotides) under uncultured bacterium. RNAcentral's name for it is "partial 16S ribosomal RNA". It matches the Rfam family "Bacterial small subunit ribosomal RNA", at positions 524 to 776 of the family's 1533-position model. The record is from RNAcentral.